AAGUGAGAAGCAAUUUUGCAUUUAAUUUCGACUUAAAAGAAAGGGUUUUCAAACCCCUCACUUA
This 64-nucleotide transfer RNA is filed under the name Pseudargyria interruptella. Its description in RNAcentral is "tRNA-Arg". The record is from RNAcentral. Lineage: Eukaryota; Metazoa; Arthropoda; Insecta; Lepidoptera; Crambidae.